Molecule: ribosomal RNA, 253 nt
Filed under: uncultured bacterium
Lineage: Bacteria
Description: partial 16S ribosomal RNA
Rfam family: Bacterial small subunit ribosomal RNA
Source: RNAcentral
UACGUAGGUGACCAGCGUUGUCCGGAUUUACUGGGCGUAAAGAGCGCGCAGGCGGUCGUUCAAGUCGAGUGUGAAAGCCCCCGGCUCAACUGGGGAGGGUCAUUCGAUACUGAUCGACUCGAAGGCAGGAGAGGGAAGUGGAAUUCCCGGUGUAGUGGUGAAAUGCGUAGAUAUCGGGAGGAACACCAGUGGCGAAGGCGACUUCCUGGCCUGUUCUUGACGCUGAGGCGCGAAAGCUAGGGGAGCAAACAGG